GCAAUGAUGACGUUUUGUCGUUUGAUCACAAAUGAAACCACUCAACAAUUCCUCUAAGAAGUUCUGAGCUC
This 71-nucleotide small nucleolar RNA is filed under the name Neogobius melanostomus (round goby). RNAcentral's name for it is "Small nucleolar RNA SNORD61 (ENSNMLG00000015272.1)". It matches the Rfam family "Small nucleolar RNA SNORD61". Rfam says of the family: U61 belongs to the C/D class of snoRNA which contain the C (UGAUGA) and D (CUGA) box motifs. Most of the members of the box C/D family function in directing site-specific 2'-O-methylation of substrate RNAs. The record is from Rfam by way of RNAcentral. Lineage: Eukaryota; Metazoa; Chordata; Actinopteri; Gobiiformes; Gobiidae.